Molecule: ribosomal RNA, 369 nt
Filed under: uncultured bacterium
Lineage: Bacteria
Description: bacterial SSU rRNA
Rfam family: Bacterial small subunit ribosomal RNA
Source: RNAcentral
GUAGGGUGCAAGCGUUAAUCGGAAUUACUGGGCGUAAAGCGUGCGCAGGCGGUUUUGUAAGUCAGAUGUGAAAUCCCCGGGCUUAACCUGGGAACUGCGUUUGAAACUACAAGGCUAGAGUGUGGCAGAGGGGGGUGGAAUUCCACGUGUAGCAGUGAAAUGCGUAGAGAUGUGGAGGAACACCGAUGGCGAAGGCAGCCCCCUGGGUUAACACUGACGCUCAGGCACGAAAGCGUGGGGAGCAAACAGGAUUAGAUACCCUGGUAGUCCACGCCCUAAACGAUGUCAACUAGUUGUCGGGUCUUAACGGACUUGGUAACGCAGCUAACGCGUGAAGUUGACCGCCUGGGGAGUACGGUNNNAANNNUA